Molecule: unclassified non-coding RNA, 233 nt
Filed under: plant metagenome
Description: partial contains small subunit ribosomal RNA, internal transcribed spacer 1, and 5.8S ribosomal RNA
Source: RNAcentral
UUUCCGUAGGUGAACCUGCGGAAGGAUCAUUAUUGGAUUUUGAAACUUCAGGAUGCUGCUGGCUCUCCUCGGAGGGCAUGUGCACGCUUGUUGUCCAUUAUUUCUCCCACUGUGCACAAAUUGUAGACCUUUCAGUAGGCCUAUGUUGUUUUUCACAAUCUCUGAAUGUAAUAGAAUGGUUUUGAAUCUUGGGAAAUACAAUACAACUUUCAGCAACGGAUCUCUUGGCUCUC